Molecule: long non-coding RNA, 4349 nt
Organism: Astatotilapia calliptera (eastern happy)
Lineage: Eukaryota; Metazoa; Chordata; Actinopteri; Cichliformes; Cichlidae
Source: Ensembl
CAGCAGUUUUAAAAAAGAUUUUAAGAUUAAUUUUUUUGCUCCUCUCACUCUAGCAGUUGAGCUGCCUCACUCUAGCCCCAACAUUCCGUCCCAUAGACACCCAUUAUAAACUCUGAAACGGGUGAAAAAACAUCAUGAAACUUAAACUGGAACUGAAGAAAAAGUAUAAUAGAUAUUGAAAAGAUAAAUACAAGUUGAAUAGUUGAAUGUCUUGUCUUCGUUUUAAAGUUUGAAUGGUGGCUCUAUGUCAAUGUAUGUGGAAGUAGAUACAGUUUAAAGAGGAGGAAGUUGAAUGAGAAUUUGAAGGGUCUCCCCAUUGAAAUACAUUAUAAAUUUUUGUUGAAAAAAGUUGAAUAAAAUUAAAAAUAUAAAUGUUAAAAAUGAGAAAAAUAGAAGCAAUGUUGUCCAAAAUAAUAGGAAUCUAACGGUGUUUGAAUGGUUUUUCUAAGUUGAACGGUUUUGAAGGAGUAGGCUUUCAAAAAACGUACGGAAAAAUAAAAUAUAACUAGAAAGUGCAUUUUCUGAAGAAACUGCAGUGUGAAUGCUUGAAUCUGAAUGUAUGUGCUGAAAUGAAUUAAUUGCUGAAUUUAAGUUAAAAAUGUUGAAUGAGAUGAAAAAUACAGAAAUUUUUGCCUGAAAACAAAAGUGCUGAACUGCUAAAAUCUGACACUCACACAGAAGAAGAAGUUGGAAAAUAGUUGAAAAUGUUUUAAAUGUAAAUUAGAAAACCCUAAGAAAUGAGAAAAGAACAUUUAGAGUCAGAAAACAUCUGAAUGAAUAUUAAAAGUUCAUAUUCUUUGAAUAACUGAAUGACUAAAAUGUGAUCCCUCCACUUGGAUCCACACAGUUUAAAAAUUUUAAAUGUCUGAGCUUUGAAAGACACGGUGUUGGAAAGAGAAGAACGAUGGCGAUGUUUUGAGGGUAAAAUGAUGGCUGUAGAGCAAACACUGUGGACACAGCAGCAGUUGAAAGAGAAGUGUUUAAGAUGAAUCUUGGCAGAGAGAGAGAGAGCUCGUUAAGCAGGCAGGUGUGAGCCUGGUUGCUAUAGUGACUGCACCCAAUGGCUCCAUACACACGGACACAGACAUGCACCUCACUUUUGCUGCUUAAAAUGAACAGAAAAGUCAGGCCCAAACAAAUUCUUCCCAAAUGAAAAGUACAUGUCGUAUUGACAAAAUUCUUUCACCGUGAGCGACAGCCAUGUCUAGUCUACCAAAUUCUCAGUUUUCAUGCCUGUGGAGUUUAUUAUAUGGACGUGGUGACAGUGGAAAGACACCAUGCUCUUCUGAUUUUCAAACGAACCUUCUGAGCCAUUUUAACAUUAGAGUCUAUGGAAGAGUUGGAGGGAGGAGGCUGUGCAUUGGUGACAUUUAUGAAAGAACCAUAACACCUAGGACAAUAGUAAACACAUUGGAUGAAAGAGGACAGCCAUGGCUACGUUUUGAGGGUAAAAUCAUACCUGUAGAGCAAACGCUGUGGACACAGCAGCAGUUUUAAAAAAGAUUUUAAGAUUAAUUUUUUUGCUCCUCUCACUCUAGCAGUUGAGCUGUCUCACUCUAGCCCCAACAUUCCGUCCCAUACACACCCAUUAUAAACUCUGAAACGGGUGAAAAAACAUCAUGAAACUUAAACUGGAACUGAAGAAAAAGUAUAAUAGAUAUUGAAAAGAUAAAUACAAGUUGAAUAGUUGAAUGUCUUGUCUUCGUUUUAAAGUUUGAAUGGUGGCUCUAUGUCAAUGUAUGUGGAAGUAGUAAGAGUUUAAAAAUGAGUAAGUUGAAUGAGGAUUUGAAGGGUCUCCCCAUUGAAAUACAUUAUAAAUUUUUGUUGAAAAAAGUUGAAUAAAAUUAAAAAUAUAAAUGUUAAAAAUGAGAAAAAUAGAAGCAGUGUUGUCCAAAAGAAUAGGAAUCUAAUGGUGUUUGAAUGGUUUUUCUAAGUUGAACGGUUUUGAAGGAGUUAGAUGCCAAAAAACGUACGGAAUAUAUAAUAAUAACUAGAAAAUGCAUUUUCUGAAGAAACUGCAGUGUGAAUGCUUGAAUCUGAAUGUAUGCACUGAAAUGAAUUAAUUGCUGAAUUUUGAGUUAAAAAUAUUGAAUGAGAUUAAAAAAAAAAAAAAAAAAAAACGAAUUUAACCUGAAAACAAAGGUGCUGAACUGCUAAAAGCUGAAGGUUACACAGAAGAAGGAGUUGGAAAAAAACUGAAAAUGUUUUAAAUGUAAAUUAGAAAACCCUAAGAAAUGAGAAAAGAACAUUUAGAGUCAGAAAACAUCUGAAAGAAUAUCAAAAGGUCAUAUUCUUUGAAUCACUGAAUGACUCAAAUGUGAUCCCUCCACUUUGAUCCACACAGUUUAAAAAGUUUAAAUGCCUGAGCUUUGAAAGAUACGGUGUUGGAAAGAGAACAAUAAUGGCGACAAUUUGAGGGUAAAAUGAUGGCUGUAACACUGUGGACACAGCAGCAGUUGAAAGAGAAGUGCUUAAGAUGAAUCUUGGUACAGUGGCAGGCAGAGCUCGUUAAGCAGGCAGGUGUGAGCCUGGUUGCUAUAGUGACCGCACCCAAUGGCUCCAUACACACGUACACAGACAUGCGCCUCACUUUUGCUGCUUAAAAUGAACAGAAAAGUCAGGCCCAAACAAAUUCUUCCCAAAUGAAAAGUACAUGUCGUAUUGACAAAAUUCUUUCACCGUGAGCGACAGCCAUGUCUAGUCUACCUAAUUCUCAGUUUUCAUGCCUGUGGAGUUUAUUAUAUGGACGUGGUGACAGUGUAAAGACACCAUGCUCUUCUGAUUUUCAAACGAACCUUCUGAGCCAUUUUAACAUUAGAGUCUAUGGAAGAGUUGGAGGGAGGAGGCUGUGCAUUGGUGACAUUUAUGAAAGAACCAUAACACCUAGUACAAUACUAAACACAUUGGAUGAAAGAGGACAGCGAUGGCUACGUUUUGAGGGUAAAAUCAUACCUGUAGAGCAAACGCUGCAGACACAGCAGCAGUUUUAAAAAAGAUUUUAAGAUUAAUUUUUUUGCUCCUCUCACUCUAGCAGUUGAGCUGCCUCACUCUAGCCCCAACAUUCCGUCCCAUACACACCCAUUAUAAAUUUUGAAACGGGUGAAAAAACAUCAUGAAACUUAAACUGGAACUGAAGAAAAAGUAUAAUAGAUAUUGAAAAGAUAAAUACAAGUUGAAUAGUUGAAUGUCUUGUCUUCGUUUUAAAGUUUGAAUGGUGGCUCUAUGUCAAUGUAUGUGGAAGUAGUAAGAGUUUAAAAAUGAGUAAGUUGAAUGAGAAUUUGAAGGGUUUCCCCAUUGAAAUACAUGGGAAAUUUUUGUUGAAUAAAGUUGAAUAAAAUUAAAAAUAUAAAUGUUAAAAAUGAGAAAAAUAGAAGCAGUCAUGUCCAAAAUAAUAGGAAUCUAACGAUGUUUGAAUGGUUUUUCUAAGUUGAACGGUUUUGAAGGAGUUAGAUGCCAAAAAACGUACGGAAUAUGGAAUAAUAAUAAAGAUUUGAAGAACAAUACUGUGAAUGCUUUUCAAGCAUUCACACUAAUAAUAAAGAUUCGAAUAACAAUACUGUGAAUGCUUUUCAAGCAUUCACACUAAUAAAACGUCGCAAGCCAAGCAGUUUGGAAGGGUUUUGAAAGCUGUAUGUAGUAUAUAAGCUAUGAGCCGGGCAAUGCGAGGCAAGUCAGAAGGCUCAAAGGUAUAAAGUAUAGAGUCAGUGAGUGUUUUUGUGUUGGAGCUUCAGGUUCAGCAAAUGAACUCUUCUAUAUUGGUGUGAUUCAUGUGACUUUUUCCUCCUUAAGUACCGCCCACUGGAAAACAGUUUGUAUAAAAAUCUUCUCUUUGGCUGUUUUAGUUUGGAAAUCAAUCUUACCCAAUCAGAUUGUACAAACUGUUAUAGACAGUUAUUAUAUAUAGACAGGUAUUUCUCUCUCUCUGAUCUCUCUGAGAAGCUUCAACCUUUCUUUAAUCAGCAGUGUGAUGAACUGAUGCUCUGAUCUCUGGUCUGACCAAAGCUUUAACUCCAAACAUCUCUCCACUGUUAGAGCUUCUGCAUUGUUUCAGGUUCAAAUCAUGGUUCAUAUUUUCAUUGCCUGAUGGUGUGACGCCUCCACCUACAUCACUGAACUGCUCCACUUCUGUACUCUUCUCUCUGUGGCCUUCUUGAAACAGCCUCUUGGUGUUUGUGGGGUUUUUCUCAGUUCAUGUGUGCCACUGUUUUUUUUUUAUGAAAACUAUUAGUAUAUCUCUGUAAAUAAGACUUUUUAUAUAUAUAUAUAUAAAAACAAUGAUAAUGAGUCUAUUUGUUGAAUGAGUGAAUAAAAUAUGAUCAGUAUGUAAGUGUUAAUAAAGAGUUAACACA